Molecule: ribosomal RNA, 1381 nt
Filed under: uncultured bacterium
Lineage: Bacteria
Description: 16S ribosomal RNA
Rfam family: Bacterial small subunit ribosomal RNA
Source: RNAcentral
UUCGCCCUUAGAGUUUGAUCCUGACUCAGGACGAACGCUGGCGGCGCGCCUAACACAUGCAAGUCGAACGGAACUUGAGAGAGCUUGCUUUUUCAAGUUUAGUGGCGAACGGGUGAGUAACGCGUGAGUAACCUGCCCUGGAGUGGGGGACAACAGUUGGAAACGACUGCUAAUACCGCAUAAGCCCACAGUGCCGCAUGGCACAGCGGGAAAAGGAUUUAUUCGCUUCAGGAUGGACUCGCGUCCAAUUAGCUAGUUGGUGAGGUAACGGCACACCAAGGCGACGAUUGGUAGCCGGACUGAGAGGUUGAACGGCCACAUUGGGACUGAGACACGGCCCAGACUCCUACGGGAGGCAGCAGUGGGGGAUAUUGCACAAUGGGGGAAACCCUGAUGCAGCGACGCCGCGUGGAGGAAGAAGGUUUUCGGAUUGUAAACUCCUGUCGUUAGGGACGAUAAUGACGGUACCUAACAAGAAAGCACCGGCUAACUACGUGCCAGCAGCCGCGGUAAAACGUAGGGUGCAAGCGUUGUCCGGAAUUACUGGGUGUAAAGGGAGCGCAGGCGGACCGGCAAGUUGGAAGUGAAAUCUAUGGGCUCAACCCAUAAAUUGCUUUCAAAACUGCUGGCCUUGAGUAGUGCAGAGGUAGGUGGAAUUCCCGGUGUAGCGGUGGAAUGCGUAGAUAUCGGGAGGAGCACCAGUGGCGAAGGCGGUCUACUGGGCACCAACUGACGCUGAGGCUCGAAAGCAUGGGUAGCAAACAGGAUUAGAUACCCUGGUAGUCCAUGCCGUAAAGGAUGAUUACUAGGGGUUGGAGGAUUGACCCCUUCAGUGCCGCAGUUAACACAAUAAGUAAUCCACCUGGGGAGUACGACCGCAAGGUUGAAACUCAAAGGAAUUGACGGGGGCCCGCACAAGCAGUGGAGUAUGUGGUUUAAUUCGAAGCAACGCGAAGAACCUUACCAGGUCUUGACAUCCGAUGCAUAGUGCAGAGAUGCAUGAAGUCCUUCGGGACAUCGAGACAGGUGGUGCAUGGUUGUCGUCAGCUCGUGUCGUGAGAUGUUGGGUUAAGUCCCGCAACGAGCGCAACCCCUAUUGUUAGUUGCUACGCAAGAGCACUCUAGCGAGACUGCCGUUGACAAAACGGAGGAAGGUGGGGACGACGUCAAAUCAUCAUGCCCCUUAUGUCCUGGGCUACACACGUAAUACAAUGGCGGUCAACAGAGGGAUGCAAAACCGUAAGGUGGAGCGAACCCCUAAAAGCCGUCUCAGUUCAGAUUGUGGGCUGCAACCCGCCCACAUGAAGUCGGAAUCGCUAGUAAUCGCGGAUCAGCAUGCCGCGGUGAAUACGUUCCCGGGCCUUGCACACACCGCCCGUCA